Molecule: ribosomal RNA, 492 nt
Filed under: uncultured bacterium
Lineage: Bacteria
Description: partial 16S ribosomal RNA
Rfam family: Bacterial small subunit ribosomal RNA
Source: RNAcentral
AGUGAACGCUGGCGGUAGGCCUAACACAUGCAAGUCGAACGGCAGCACAGUAAGAGCUUGCUCUUACGGGUGGCGAGUGGCGGACGGGUGAGGAAUACAUCGGAAUCUACUUUUUCGUGGGGGAUAACGUAGGGAAACUUACGCUAAUACCGCAUACGACCUACGGGUGAAAGCAGGGGAUCUUCGGACCUUGCGCGAUUGAAUGAGCCGAUGUCGGAUUAGCUAGUUGGCGGGGUAAAGGCCCACCAAGGCGAGGAUCCGUAGCUGGACUGAGAGGAUGAUCGGCCACACUGGAACUGAGACACGGUCCAGACUCCUACGGGAGGCAGCAGUGGGGAAUAUUGGACAAAGGGCGCAAGCCUGAUCCAGCCAUACCGCGUGGGUGAAGAAGGCCUUCGGGUUGUAAAGCCCUUUUGUUGGGAAAGAAAAGCAGCAGGUUAAUACCCCGCUGUUCUGACGGUACCCAAAGAAUAAGCACCGGCUAACUUCGUG